Lytechinus pictus (painted urchin) is the source of this 12658-nucleotide long non-coding RNA. RefSeq lists it as uncharacterized. Lineage: Eukaryota; Metazoa; Echinodermata; Echinoidea; Temnopleuroida; Toxopneustidae. The record is from RefSeq and is a predicted model, not a curated record. The transcript is spliced from 16 exons.
GUACGGUACACGACGGUACCAGUAGUAGGCGGUACAUGUGACCAGAGGCAGAGAGGACAGUGACAGUGCAUAUACUUCCGAUUUUGUCUCUAAAAUGGACGUCCAUCAUUAAAAAAAUACAAUACCUGUAUCAUUUUACCGAAGAGAAUGAGUUUAGAUUCAGUAACAAUCACCGGGAUAGCACAAAAAGCACGAAAUACUUUCUAUUUGGUGAUUUUGUUGUAACUUAGUUCAAGCAAUCUGAUUUUCUUUCGAGCUCGUGCAUUUCUGGUACGGUAUCUGCAAAAGCAUAAACGAGUAAUCGCACGAGAUGGAUUUUUUCUUUUAAUUAUAGUAUGAUUUAGGAGUAAAAUAAAAUGAAUAGAUUAUGCCUAAUAUCAACGAGAAAUACUACAAAAAACAAGUUCUAAGAGGCAUAGCGAGAACUUUAUAAAGAAUGGGAACAAGUACUAAGGAAAAUUUUUCUGAAAUUGAAAAUCCCAUUUGAAAUCGAAACAAGCAAAUUUUGAAAUUAAAAAAAAAUGUGAAUUUGAGCCGUAGAGGAUUGGGGGGGGGGGGGCAUAAGCACCCUCCCCCUUUCAAUCGAGAGUCAUUAAAAUAUUUGUUGUGGUAAAUAUCGGACAUAGUGAACUGACCCAUGGCCGUAUGCAGAAAUUUUUCGCGGGUAGGGGGGGGGGGGGGGUGGGCAAGAUGCAUAAAAUAUAAAAAAUUGAAAGGAAGUGAGAAAAGUGACCGAGCUUGUCAUUGCGUCUUUCCAUUCUGUAAAGGGCAAUUGAAGCAUUUCGUGCAUGCCUUUAAUUAAUUUUGUAAAAAAAAAAAAACAUUAAGUUUUCAAUAUCCCCCCCCCCCCCCCCCGCUGCAUACGGCCAUGAACUGACUUUUUUUCGUUUAGGUUUCUUUUUGCUUUUAUGUUCAGAUUUUUCGUGGAAUAUAUUACCUUUAUUUGGGAGUGAAACUCAUUUUUUAUCAACUUGUAAGAUUUUACUGAAUAAGCAUACAACCCCCGGGCCCCGUUGAAAAAGCUGGAUCCACCCCUAAACUUCAGUAGUGAUAUGAUGUGAUUAAAAUUAUUAAGGGAGCGAAUGAGGGAAAACCAAGCAAUAUAACAAUAAUGGAAACAAUUAUGUCCGGAAGUGGCAGUAUACUUAAAUCAAAAAAAGAAAUAUAUCCAAUUAAAUGACAUUAAAUUGCGCAGUACGUUUUUCAUGAAUGUGUAUGAAAAAUGAUUAAAGUAAAACAAUCAGCUAGAAAUGUGGAAAGACAAACUUACCUUAUUCAUUUAAUGCACAACAUAGUUAUAGUUUGAACAUCGGGUAUAGUCGAGGACGGCCUGGCAUCAGCAUGGGUGAGGGGGUGCAUGGGUUACAUGUAUUUCUUUUCUUAUCAGUCGUUCCAAUUUAUCCAUCAUUUGCUUUCAUUUAGUCAGUAUCAACCUCUCUUGUUCUACACGUACACAUACGCCUGCUAUAUAUAUAUAUAUAUCUUAAUUUCUCUUAAUCUCUAUUAAGUCAAUCCCUUUAUUUUAUUAUUCAAUAUCAAUAGUUCCGGUCCUCUUUUCUUCUAUCGCUCUUAAUUUUUUGUUGAAUAUCUUCUACGUCUAUCCCUUUAUUUUAUUCACUAUCAAUUGUUAUUGUCUUAUCUUUUAUUCUUCUACCGUUCUUGUUCGAUCUCUUUUAAGUCUAUAUACAUUUAAUUAUUUUAUUUCUUCAGAUCAUUCUUUCCUUUCUUCUCUCGCAUUUCUCUUUAACUUCAAUCGUUCCAUCAGUCAUACAUGUAUAAUAUGACGGUACAAGACUCUUACAUUGUUUUAUUUCUUCAGUAUCAAUCUUCCCUAUCUAAUGUGUACAUUAUUUUAUACAGAUAUUAGAUAAGAUCAGGAAUCUACUCGUAUAUUAAUUACUCUUGAAACGUGGUUGAAUUGAACAACCCUAGCUAUAUGUGGACUUGACUGGGGUCAAUUAAUUACACCGUCUGGCGCGUUUUGUGGACAAUGAAUAGAGGUGUGAAGAUUAUAGAACAGCUAACAAUGAGAAGACUGUAAGUUACACAAUGAUCUUUUGUGUAACUGUUUGAAUAGAACAUGUAUUAAGCCGGCCCACUGAUCAGUGAUUAAGCCAGUCUAUGAUCAAUGCCCACCCCCAAAUUGUCCAAUAUAGUCGGCAUUUGGGGGCCCGGAGUGGUGAUGAGAGUGACGAUGAUGGCCAUGAGAAAAAUGAUAAGGAGGAAGAUGUUGAUAUUGAAAAUCAAUUAUAUUUUUUGUAUAAAAUCACCUGUUCUUGAUAAAAAGAGAAACAAUUACAAUAAGUCCAGGUUGUCUGUUCUAUAUAGACGAACAGUACACAGGGCAACAUAAAAUGAAUAUAAAUAAACAAAUUAGCAAGAGAUAAUAUGCACAUGGAUUAAAACGAGUCAAUUCGUAAAAAUAUAUCAUUGCAACAUUUUAUUAAUAUUACUAAAAUACAUUAGGGAAAUACGUUUUAAAUGCUAAACGUUAGGAAAAUGUAUUAUAGCAUUGAGAAAACCAUACAUUUUAUAUGAUUUUAACAUUUCCGUUCAACAUUUUCAUGUUUUACCAAACAUUUUUUUUGAUAUUUUGUCAAUGUUUUUUGUGUUCGCUCGGGUUACACGGAAAAUGGAGUAUAUUGGUCAAGCAAAAAAAGUGGAAGGUGGUGACUUGACCUUUUGACGCUUGUAUCAUAUACACACCAAAUAAUAUAAGCCUCGGGUUAAGUUAAACUGGAGUUAUCAUGUUUAUAAGGAAAUGUUAACGAAUGGAGGGACAGACGGAUACCGAGCGUGAUACCAAGUUACGUCUCGUCUUAUACGGGCGGGCGUAAAAAGACGAUAUAUUACUUGUAGGGGGAGGCUGUUGCUGGAAUGAUGGACGGAGAGAAAGGGAACAGUAACACAACAUGCAAAAAAAAUAUUUAAGGAAGAUACAGGGGGGGGGGGGCUGAAUAAGAUUUUUCAGAAAGUGCUGAUGCUAGGCAUUUAAAGCAGGGCCACUUGCGGGUAUUCUUUUUCCGGGAAGGGGGGGGGGGUUCAAGAUAGCCGAUCGAAGAGGAAAGUGGGCGAAGUAGGAGGAAGAAGACGACGGCUAAGAGAAAGAAAUAAAGGAUAAAGAAGAUAAGGAUAAGAGAGAAGCAACAGAUGAUAUGAUGGAUGAACGAAUGAACAUGGUAAAGAUAAAGGUAAAGAAAGAAGAACAGGAACAAAAAGAAGUGAAAGACAUAAGAAGAAUUGAAUGAGGAGAAUAAAUAUACAAAUGAUGAUGAUGAUAUUGUUAAUUAAUAUCUUUGGGUAUAAAAUCAACUGUUAUUGAUAGCGAAAAAAUGAAAAAUGAUGGGAAGCGAAUCAUCUUUGAAUAAAAGACGUAACCGAUAAAAUAAACACACAGAAUUGAUAAACACAAAAUGAUGGAAAGCAAAUCUACUCGUUCUUUGAAUAAACAGACGAAACUGAUUAAAUUAAAACACAGAAUUGAUGAACAGGAAAAUGGAAAGCAAAUCUACUCGUGCUCUGAACGUCAUAAUGAUGGAAAGUGAAUCUACUCGUUCUUGGAAUGAACGAUGUAACUGAUAAAAUAAAAAUACAGAAUUGUUGAACAGAAAAAUGAUGGACAGCGUUUCUUCUUUAGAUAAAAGACGUAACUGAUGAACAAUGAAAACAAAACACAGAAUUGAUGGAACUCAAAAAAUGAUGGAAAAGGAAUCAACUCGUUCUUGCCAUGAACGAUGUAACUGAUAAAAUAUACAGAAUUGAACAGAAAAAUGAUUGAAAGCGAAUCUUCUUUGAAUAAAAGACGUAAAUGAUUAAAUUAUUUAAAAAAAACUGAAUAAUGAUGAACAGAAAUUGGGAAAAACGAAUCUACUUUCCUUUGAAUGAACGACGUAACUGAUAAAAUAAAAAUACAGAAUUAAUGAACAGAAAAUGAUGGAAAGCGAAUCUUUGAAUAAAAGUCGUCAGUGAUGAAAAAAAACACAGAAUAUUGAUGAACAGAAAAUGAUGGUUAGCAAAUCUAGUAAUAUCUGUUCCAUUCUUAAUGGAUUUCACAUCUCAUUGGUUGUGUUUUUUUUUUUAAUGUUCUAUAACUAUGAUUAAUUCUAACUUGAUUCUAAAUCUCUGUUUCAUAACUUCAUAAUAAAACUCAAAUCUGAAUUAUACUCGUCCUUUGAAUUAACGUCGUAACUGAUUAAAUGAAAAAAGGGUCAAUCAAUGAACAGAAAAAUGAUGGUAAGCAAAUCUACUCGUCCUUUGAAUGAACGACGUAACUGAUAAAAUAAAAAUGCAGAAUUUAUGAACAGAAAAAUGAUGGAAAGCGAAUCUUUGAUUAAAAGACGUAAGUGAGGAAAUUGAAGAAAAAACAGAAUUGAUAAACAGAAAAUGAUGGUUAGCAAAUCAACUCGUCCUUUAAAUGAACGAUGUAUUACUGAUUAAAAAAAACAAAAAAACAAUGAACAGAAAAUGAUGGAAAGCGAAUCUUCUUCUUUGAAUGAUGAAUAGAAAAAUGAUGAAAAUACUCGUUCUUUUGAAUGAAAUACGUACCUGAUUAAAAUUACAGAAUUGAAGAACAAAAGAUAAAAAAUAAAAGAUAGAAAAAGAUUAUCUACUUGAUUUGACUUUAUUUUACAUAUUUCACAAGUACAAACAAAAUUAUGAAAAUAAUAUCAGAAAACUUAUGAGAAUACAAAUCAGACAACAAUUAAUUCAAAUUAAAGAAAAUAGCGAUUUGGAAUUAAAGACAAUUUAAAAGAGUGAAAUAUGAGGGAACCUGCAUAAAAAGCAAGACUUGUCCUUUAAACGGAAGACGUCUUUGAUAACAUAAACACUGAAAAAUAAACCAUGGAUCUAGCUCCACAAAUAAACAGUGGAAAGAUAAUCUACUCGUCCUUUAAGCCAAAGAUGUAACUAUAACUGGGUCACUCGGUCAGGAGCUGGGCACAUGGAUUUCUAGCGGGGACUCGUCUGAUGCGCGCGCUUGAGGCAGUUUUUCAACCCGCUGUCUAGCUAUUGGGAAUUUAGGAUUUUCAACCCGCUGUCUAUCGGGUUGAAUAUCUUGAAGUGCAAAUGACGGGAUGGUGAAUUAAAAGAGAAUUGGACUAAGUGGGUUUAGCCCGAAUGUUGUUAGCCCAUCUGAUGAUUAGACCAAGUGAUAAUAGACCAUCCAUCAGUAAACCGACGGGAUUGCAUCGGGAUUGCGUCGUGUUUUGACAAAAAAGUGCCUAGAGUUGAGGCGCAAACUACAUGAACAAAUAGAGAUCAAAUCUGAAAAAAAUCUCGUGUUUUACGUGAGCAUUGGGCCUCUCUUCUGCCAGCUGCAUGCGUGAAAUUGACGCGUGAAUUUCACGCGCGAAAUCGGCUGGUGGUAAUUUUUUGGGUCACGCCUGUCUCGCGGUAGAUGCGUGACCCUUCGGAAGGGUGUCAACUUUAUUCCGAGCAAUACUGUAGCAGACCUAUAAUAUACGAGUGAGCUGUGCUUAACAAGUUAUAAGAUUUUGGACCAUACCCGAUUUCGGGAACCUCUGCCCAUAUAGGUACUUCAAUCUGACAACAAACAGACUGAUUAACCUCGCCUUAUACCCUGUAGUCUCACUACAACCUACCUCGCCUCCCGGCCUCCGUGAUUGUGACAUCGAUAGGCCUGACAAUCAUCAGCUCAGCCUCAUAGCUCAACUUCACCUGCAUCAAGCCAGCAGAUUUGAAACUGCACCGCCACCGGAUAUGAUUGUUCUAUUGCUCCGGCCCGACCCGGUAACUACCUCACACUGAACCAAGUGAAGACUGUCAGUCACGUCGAUCAACUGAUGCACAUAGCUCUUCCAUAACCAGUUGAGUUAGGAUCAUGAUUUCCCAACUAAAGAAAACUGGAUAUUUAGCUAAACUCUCGGGCGCACCGGCCAGCUCUCUCUCUCUCCCGGGCAAGUCUUGUGAUGCGUCGGCACAGGCACUCAUCUGCAUUCCGCUGAGCGUGGUGGCUCGAUGAAAAAUUCCCUGCAAGACCAUCGUUGAAAAAGGAAUGGUUAAAGCAACUUUCGAUGGAAGACAAAUUCAAUAAGAAGUAGAUGUUCAUUACAUUUCAAGAACAUUUUGGAAAACAGAAAUUGAUCACUUUCAGAGGGAAACUCAAGGGGACAGCAGAUCCAAGAUUAAAUGAGCUGGGAGAAACGAUGAAAUCGAACGGCAUGACAGACACACAAAUAAGUGAAACUUUCAGUACAUGGGGAUGCUCAUGAAAUCCUAAACAACGAAGCACUACAUAACCAAAAAAUGCAGCGGGAGAAGAUAUACUCGCAUGCUCCAUCCACUAUCUGUCCCCACGAUAAUACCAACAUUUAAGAACAAUUUUGUCACUACCCUCGCAAUGCACGAUAAGGAAACUUUUAAGUACCAUAAAUGAGGAACCUGGCUUCACCACAGAAUCAAUCAAAGCUAUGACAGUAAUUCAAGCCAAGAGCAGUACUCCAAUCUAUUGGACCUUAAUUUUUGCCGCGAUAAGCAUAAGAUCACAAAUAAGCUACAACAAGCCAAAGGAUAAAAAAGUUGGGUUCACAGAUGUUGGGAAAGGUAAAGCCCAGUCACAAGGAGAUAAGGAGCCGGCAACACAGGCCCUUAGCAAGUGUGUGUUGCAAUGAACAAGAGGGUUAAGUUGACGUAAGGGCAUUUUCCACUCAAACGACUCAUUUCUACCUUUCGAUGUGCCCUCCUCAAAGAAUGCCUGCAUCUGUUGAAUGACCAAGGCUUUAGAAUAUCAGCCAUUGUAUGUGAUGGUGCAUCAACAAAAAAAUCCACACCAACAAUGAUGGUGCCAAGCUCAAUGUACCACACAACAUUGACGGCAGAUUCGGAAAUCCUGCCAAUGGUGACACCAUCAUUUUCUUUCCCGAUAUAUGUCACAAUAUCAAGCUAUUGAGGAAUCUCCUGGCAGACAGAGAGACACUAUUCUUCAAUGGAACGCAGAAGUCCACAGACGGUACCCCGUUAAUAGUGCAAGCGCUAUUGGAUACACAUAUCGCCCAAAAGGAGUCUAUUAUAGCAGGGUGCUUUCUUGUUAUUCUACUCCGGAUGGAUUGUGGUGUUAUCUGACCAUACUAUACCUAUGUGGAUUUGAUGCUGAGAUCUUGCUAAGAACUGACGUGCACGUACGGAAUGCCACGGGAACAGAACCUUUCUGAGAUGUCAUAUUUCUGCAGCAAGGGAUCAAAAUUGUUGGUGGUAACAAUGAGGAUGUUGGAGAGAAUGACCUUCGGGUCUUUGUGAAGAUGGUUAUCCCUAGCGGGUAGCAGCGAAGAUGUUGCAGAUAAUGACCUCAGGAUCUUUUUUAAGACGGUGAUCCUUGGCGGGUAACAGCGAGGAUGUUACAGAGAAUGACCUUGGGUGAUGCCUGGCGGGUAACGGCGAGGAUGUUGCAGAGAGUGACCUCGGAAUCUUUGUGAAGAGGAUGAUGCCUGGCGGGUAACAGCGAGGAUGUUGCAGAGAAUGAUGUUGGAAUCUUUGUGAAGAGGAUGAUCAUUGGCAGGCAACAGCAAGGAUGUUGCAGAGAAUGACCUCAGAUCUUUCUAAAGAUGGUGACCCUUGGCGGGUAACAGCGAGGAUGUUGCAGAGAAUGAUGUUGUUAUCUUUAUAAAGAGGAUGAUCAUUGGCGGGUAACAGCUAGGAGGUUGCAGAGAGUGACUUUGGGAUCUUUGUCAAGACAGUGAUCCUUGGUGGGUAACAGCGAGGAUGUUGCAGAGAAUGAGCAUGAGAUCUUUGUGAAGAGGAUGAUCAUUGGCGGGUUAGCUUUAGAGAGUGGAUGUCUCUAUGAAGGAUCAGAUGAAGAGUGUCAGCAGUGAAAGUUUUAAUUUUUUUGGACUGAUGAGCGCUAUUGAUAUUUCAGCAGAGACCGGUGGACUUGUGAAAUAAAGGAAAUUCAGUGUCACAAAAAACUGUCAAACAUUUUGAGCCCCACAUUUCCUUUACAUUUAAAAUUUUCUCAUGAUACUAUAAUUCAAACCUUAAAUCAAUCAAGUAGAAAAAUAGAAAUCAGAUUACCAAGCAGGAUUUCUUAAUUUUAUUGCUUGAAUUAUAUCGGCCUGUAAUUUCUUAAUCCAAUUGAGUGUGACCGUUAUGUUCUGUCUGUUUGUAACUCUUAGCUACUCAGCUGUAGUUCUGCAGCAGAGUAACUAAGAGUUGCAAACAGGCAAAACAAAUUGGUUGCCCCAGGCAACAUGAUUAUAAUGUCAUUAAUAAUGAUAAUAAUAUCUGGAUUUAUUAAGCGCUUUUUGCCUGAGGAUACAAAGCGCUGUUGUUAUUACCCGGCUUUAGCUCGAGCUACCAUCACCGGCGCUCAGUGCAUGCAAGGAAUUACUCCUGCCGGGUACCCAUUCACCUCACCUGGGUCGAGUGCAGCACAGUGUGGAUAAAUUUCUUGCUGAAGAAAACAUGCCAUGGCUAGGAUUCAAACCCAUGACCCUCUGUUUCAAAGGCAAAAGUCAACUACUAGACCACAACAUACCCACAUUUUCAUUGGCUGGUAAAUUCAAGCAAUGAAGUUUAGAAAUCUUGCUUCGUAAUGAUAUUCCAUAUUCAUACUUAAUUGAUAAUAUCAUAUGAAAUGAUAAUAUCAGAUGGAACUUUGAAGAAAUUUUGGCCUUCAACUGCUUAAUUGUCAAACUUCUUGACUCUGUGAAUUUCGAUUGUAUUUAUUUAUUUCACGUAGUCCACCGGUCUGUAAGAAAUUGCAUCACUGACUGGAAGCAUUGGUCGGUCAUCUAUGGACCAGUCAGAUAAACUCAGCCCUAGUUUCAACUGAAUGAAGUCAUCCAGCUGGAACAGGAAUGUUGGAGUGAAACAGAGCUGAGAAGGAUCUAGACAGAGAUGAACUUGAUAAUGCAAGAUUGGAUUACACGGACACACUUGGACUAUCACUCCUCAUUUUGCUACAUGAGAAAGGACCUUCCUAAUAUUGCUUCUAUGGAUAAGAGACUCAAUCCUGAAUUCUAUUGGAACAAGAGAAGAAUGAAGGUGAAAAGAAGAGAGAUGUGCCAGAUCUGAAUCUAAUGAAAUGUAUCGUGAAAUGCUCCAGAAGAAAUAGGAGGACGAGGAGGAAGAACAAGCAGCGGAAGUAAUGCAUGGCUCCACCCAUUAUCAGAAAUCUGAAAUUUGAUGUGACCAAGAGAAGAAAGAAGGUGAAAAGAAGAGAAAUGUGCCAGAUCUUAACCUAAUGAAAUGUAUCGUGAUAUGCUCCAGAAGAAAUAGGAGUAUGAGGAGGAAGAACAAGCAGUGAAAGGACUUCUUGGCUCCAGCCAUUAUCAGAAUCUGAAAUUUGAUGCCAUUAUAUCAAGGGAGAGAAUGCUAGAAGAGGGACAAACAGAGUUCGACUUUCCUGUAAUCUUGUUGGAACAUUAAUGACCUGUCGACUGUUCAACGGAGGCUACACGAUGGUGAAGGCCGUGAAGGCACUGGUUGAAUUAAUGUCACCUAGUGUACAACUUGGAUGCACCCGUAAUUAGUGUUAACCAUCUACCAAGUUUAAAUGAGAGUGACGGUCUACCAGAGACGAGGACAUGGCACCGUUCUUGAAUCUUCUUCUACGCACAGUGUCUGAUGUUAACCAUCUACCAAGUUUAAAUGAGAGUGACAGUAUAACAGAGACGAGGACAUGGCACCGUUCUUGAAUCUUCUUCUACGCACAGUGUCUGAUGUUAACAAUCUACCAAGUUUAAAUGAGACUGACAGUAUAACAGAGACGAGGACAUGGCACCAUUCUUGAAUCUUCUUCUACGCACAGUGUCUGAUGUUAACCAUCUACUAAGUUUAAAUGAGAGUGACGGUCUACCAGAGACAAGGACAUGGCACCGUUCUUUAAUCUUCAUCUACGCACAGUGUCUGAUGUUAACCAUCUACCAAGUUUAAAUGAGAGUGACGGUCUACCAGAGACGAGGACAUGGCACCAUUCUUUAAUCUUCAUCUACACACAGUGUCUGAUGUUAACCAUCUACCAAGUUUAAAUGAGAGUGAUGGUCUACCAGAUACAAGGACAUGGCACCAUUCUUUAAUCUUCAUCUACGCACAGUGUCUGAUGUUAACCAUCUACCAAGUUUAAAUGAGAGUGACGGUCUACCAGAGACAAGGACAUGACACCAUUCUUUGAUCUUCAUCUACACACAGUGUCUGAUGUUAACCAUCUACCAAGUUUAAAUGAGAGUGACAGUAUAACAGAGACAAGGACAUGGCACCAUUCUUGAAUCUUCUUCUACGCACAGUGUCUGAUGUUAACCAUCUACUAAGUUUAAAUGAGAGUGACGGUCUACCAGAGACAAGGACAUGGCACCGUUCUUUAAUCUUCAUCUACGCACAGUGUCUGAUGUUAACCAUCUACCAAGUUUAAAUGAGAGUGACGGUCUACCAGAGACGAGGACAUGGCACCAUUCUUUAAUCUUCAUCUACGCACAGUGUCUGAUGUUAACCAUCUACCAAGUUUAAAUGAGAGUGAUGGUCUACCAGAGAAAAGGACAUGGCACCAUUCUUUAAUCUUCAUCUACGCACAGUGUCUGAUGUUAACCAUCUACCAAGUUUAAAUGAGAGUGACGGUCUACCAGAGACAAGGACAUGACACCAUUCUUUGAUCUUCAUCUACACACAGUGUCUGAUGUUAACCAUCUACCAAGUUUAAAUGAGAGUGACAGUAUAACAGAGACGAGGACAUGGCACCAUUCUUGAAUCUUCUUCUACGCACAGUGUCUGAUGUUAACCAUCUACCAAGUUUAAAUGAGAGUGACAGUAUAACAGAGACGAGGACAUGGCACCAUUCUUGAAUCUUCAUCUACACACAGUGUCUGAUGUUAACCAUCUACCAAGUUUAAAUGAGAGUGACAGUAUAACAGAGACGAGGACAUGACACCAUUCUUUGAUCUUCAUCUACACACAGUGUCUGAUGUUAACCAUCUACCAAGUUUAAAUGAGAGUGACAGUAUAACAGAGACGAGGAAAUGACACCAUUCUUGAAUCUUCAUCUACGCACAGUGUCUGAUGUUAACCAUCUACCAAGUUUAAAUGAGUGACAGUAUAACAGAGACGAGGACAUGGCACCAUUCUUGAAUCUUCAUCUACACAGAAUGUUUGGUGUAUGGUUAUUUUUAGUGAAGUAUGAUAAAAGAAAAAGGAUACAUUUGGCACCAUACUCUUCAUCUUGUGUCCAUAAUCUUCCCUGUACCAUUAUCACAAGAUUAGAGAUAAUUUGAUGACUAAUUGACCACUUAUAAAGACAUUCCUAAAUAAUCUUAAAGAUUACAAUUAUAAUUGAAUUACCAGCAGAGUUAUUGAUUUUGAAUCCUGGACAAAGUUAAUACUUCCUGUAAAUACCCCAAUAUUUCUGUUAAAUGUAAGUUCUCUGUGGUACUAAUUUUUGCAAUCAUUUGAUAAUUCAAAUCAAGAUCAUUCUUGCAUGCACCGGAACCCAAUCAGAAUAGUUGUUUUAUAUUUUACCGGGACCCAAUCAGAAUAGUUUUUUUAUAUUUUACCGGGACCCAAUCAGAAUAGUUUUUUUAUAUUAUCAAUCCACCAACAAGGUCCAUUUUCUAGGUUUUAGGUGUUCUUUUUAAUUUGGGAGAAUUUGUCAUGUAAAUCACACUGAGUGAGACAAAUGUCUCUUCAAACUUCAUGUCAAUUUAUUUAAAACAUUUUUUAUAUCAAAUAUGUGACUUGCAUAUCUGUGCAUUCACUCAUGAACCCAUUUAGUUAUGUAUUUUAUAAUAAUUUUUUAUAGCCCCAAGGGGCAGGUCCAAGCUACAAUGUAUAACUUUUUUUCUUAACCCUAUAUAGCCAUAAAUUCAAAGACAAAGAAAUCCAUUAGAAAUUUUGAAAAACAUUAAAUGCAUAUUUUAUUUUGAACUGCCAUUUUUUAAUGUACAUUUGAUAACAAUCCUGAAAGGUGUUUCCAGACCAAAAUGUAGUAGUUGUUUAGCUUUAUUUAUAAAUUCUGCUUUUAUCAAUUAAUUGAAAUUUUGGUACAAUUAACUAUUUUAACUUUUUUACUUGAUCGCCAAAUCUCAGUACCCACCCCCAUGCAAUGUGGAAAUAGCCCAGGCUAUGUAGGGUUACGUUUGGAAAUAAUUUGUAAGUAUUGUGAGGCUCAUGCUUCAUUAGAAUUGAGAUGGUUUGGUGACUAGGCCUUGGAGAUAUUUGUAGAAUUAACUAAGUUUUUAACUUUAUCUUGAUGAAUUAUGACUCUGUGUUUAGGCCGAAAAAAUUGUUAUGUUGCCUUCAUAAGCCCUAAAUCCAAAAGCUGGAUUCGUCGGUCGGUUUUCUUUCCUUUUAAAGUACCUUCACUGCUGCGCUGUAUAAAAAAACAAUCUUGAAUUAUUUAUGUAGUCAAACAUUGAAUUCAAAUUUGCGAAAAUCCUUCACCCAAAUCUGACAAUUUCUCACAAAAAUCUUUGCUUUUCAAUUUAAUUUUGGUCCAAUUUAAAAAAAGAAUAGCGACCCUGUUUUUUUUUUUUUUUUUUUUUAAUGUCGGUCGGAUGAGGGCGGCAACAUAACUUUUUUUAUUAGGCCUUAUUUUGUGUUGAUUAUUCUGCAAAAGUGGACCCAAAGGUUUUCCAGAGUUUUUCCUACUUGAGUUUUAUCUCUGGUUUUUUACCCUGGAUCUACUUGUCGUAGAAUUUUUCAACACCCCCCCCCC